UAUGUGAUCGUCUCUCGCAUAUCAAUAAGCGGAGGAAAAGAAACUAACAAGGAUUCCCCUAGUAACGGCGAGUGAAGCGGGAAGAGCUCAAAUUUGAAAUCUUAAAGGGUUUCCCUUUACGAAUUGUAGUUUAAAGAAGUGUUUUCUGUUGAGGUUUUGGUAAAAGUUCUUUGGAAUAGGACAUCAUAGAGGGUGAGAAUCCCGUAUUUGACCUUUACUUUCAACUUUGUGAUACACUUUCAAAGAGUCGGAUUGUUUGGGAAUGCAGUCCAAAAUGGGUGGUAAAUUUCAUCUAAAGCUAAAUAUUGGCGAGAGACCGAUAGCGAACAAGUACCGUGAGGGAAAGAUGAAAAGAACUUUGAAAAGAGAGUUAAACAGUACGUGAAAUUGUCAAAAGGGAAGCGUUUGACACCAGUGUUGUUUUUCUGAAAAUCAAUUAAAGAACUGUUUAUGCUAAGUUGUUUAGACUUUAUCAGCUAACUGUUUAGUUUUGAGCUUUUCUUUAAUGCACUUUUCAGUUAACAAGUCAACAUCAAUUUCUUUUGCUGUAAAAAAGCUUGAGGAAGGUGGCUUGAGAUUCGUCUUAAGUGUUUAUAGCCUCUUGCCUAUGCAGUCGGAGAGGUUGAGGUCUGCAGCGUAGAUCCUUCGGGGCUAAAUGCAUUUGUGCUAAGUUAUAGCAUUUUAUAGGACAACUUGUUGACUAUGAUUUGUCUUGUAGCUUACUCGCUUAUGUUAUUUUACCUACGCUUAGGAUGUUGAGUCAUCACACAUCUC
This 774-nucleotide ribosomal RNA is filed under the name uncultured Neocallimastigales. RNAcentral's name for it is "partial large subunit ribosomal RNA". It matches the Rfam family "Eukaryotic large subunit ribosomal RNA", at positions 24 to 617 of the family's 3401-position model. Lineage: Eukaryota; Fungi; Neocallimastigomycota; Neocallimastigomycetes; Neocallimastigales. The record is from RNAcentral.